This 1565-nucleotide ribosomal RNA is filed under the name Haemophilus influenzae. RNAcentral describes it as "partial 23S ribosomal RNA". It matches the Rfam family "Bacterial large subunit ribosomal RNA", at positions 1260 to 2809 of the family's 2925-position model. Lineage: Bacteria; Pseudomonadati; Pseudomonadota; Gammaproteobacteria; Pasteurellales; Pasteurellaceae. The record is from RNAcentral.
AUCGAGAGGUGGGCUGGACGUAUCACAAGUGCGAAUGCUGACAUAAGUAACGAUAAAACGGGUGAAAAACCCGUUCGCCGGAAGACCAAGGGUUCCUGUCCAACGUUAAUCGGGGCAGGGUGAGUCGGCUCCUAAGGCGAGGCUGAAAAGCGUAGUCGAUGGGAAACAGGUUAAUAUUCCUGUACUUGGUAAAGCUGCGAUGUGGGGACGGAGUAGGUUAGGUUAUCGCACUGUUGGAUAUGUGCGUUUAAGUUGGUAGGUGGGAAGUUUAGGCAAAUCCGGGCUUCCUUAACACAGAGAGAUGAUGACGAGGCUCUACGGAGCUGAAGUAACUGAUACCACACUUCCAGGAAAAGCCACUAAGCGAAAGGCUUUACUAAACCGUACUGAAAACCGACACAGGUGGUCAGGUAGAGAAUACUCAGGCGCUUGAGAGAACUCGGGUGAAGGAACUAGGCAAAAUAGCACCGUAACUUCGGGAGAAGGUGCGCCGGCGUAGAUUGUAAGGGCUAGCCCCUGAAGGUUGAACCGGUCGAAGAUACCAGCUGGCUGCAACUGUUUAUUAAAAACACAGCACUCUGCAAACACGAAAGUGGACGUAUAGGGUGUGAUGCCUGCCCGGUGCUGGAAGGUUAAUUGAUGGUGUAAUCGCAAGAGAAGCACCUGAUCGAAGCCCCAGUAAACGGCGGCCGUAACUAUAACGGUCCUAAGGUAGCGAAAUUCCUUGUCGGGUAAGUUCCGACCUGCACGAAUGGCAUAAUGAUGGCCAGGCUGUCUCCACCCGAGACUCAGUGAAAUUGAAAUCGCCGUGAAGAUGCGGUGUACCCGCGGCUAGACGGAAAGACCCCGUGAACCUUUACUAUAGCUUGACACUGAACAUUGAAUUUUGAUGUGUAGGAUAGGUGGGAGACUUAGAAGUAGUCACGCCAGUGAUUAUGGAGUCGACCUUGAAAUACCACCCUUUAACGUUUGAUGUUCUAACGAAGAUGACGAAACGUGGUCUCGGACAGUGUCUGGUGGGUAGUUUGACUGGGGCGGUCUCCUCCCAAAGCGUAACGGAGGAGCACGAAGGUUUGCUAAUCACGGUCGGACAUCGUGAGGUUAGUGCAAUGGUAUAAGCAAGCUUAACUGCGAGACAGACAAGUCGAGCAGGUACGAAAGUAGGUCAUAGUGAUCCGGUGGUUCUGAAUGGAAGGGCCAUCGCUCAACGGAUAAAAGGUACUCCGGGGAUAACAGGCUGAUACCGCCCAAGAGUUCAUAUCGACGGCGGUGUUUGGCACCUCGAUGUCGGCUCAUCACAUCCUGGGGCUGAAGUAGGUCCCAAGGGUAUGGCUGUUCGCCAUUUAAAGUGGUACGCGAGCUGGGUUUAGAACGUCGUGAGACAGUUCGGUCCCUAUCUGCCGUGGGCGUAGGAGAAUUGGUUGGGGCUGCUCCUAGUACGAGAGGACCGGAGUGGACGCACCACUGGUGUUCCAGUUGUCUCGCCAGAGGCAUUGCUGGGUAGCUAAGUGCGGAAGAGAUAAGUGCUGAAAGCAUCUAAGCACGAAACUUGCCAAGAGAUGAGU